UCUCUGCAGUCCCUUAUCCUUCCUCCACCCCUUAGAUCAGCCCGGCCCCUGCAUAGCCUCAGUGUGCUGGCGUUUGACCAAGAGCGUCUGGAGCGGAAGAUCCUGGCCCUCAGGCAGGCGCGGCGGCCGGUGCCCCCAGAAGUGGCCCAGCAGUACCAGGACAUCAUGCAACGCAGCCAGUGGCAGAGGGCACAGCUGGAGCAGGGGGGUGUGGGCAUCCGACGGGAAUACGCAGCCCAGCUGGAGCGGCAGCUGCAGUUCUACACGGAGGCUGCCCGGCGCCUGGGCAACGAUGGCAGCAGGGAUGCUGCAAAGGAGGCACUCUAUAGGCGGAAUCUGGUAGAGAGUGAGCUGCAGCGGCUCCGCAGGUGAGGAGCCCAUGGGGCGGGCAGCCCCCAGAAAGCAGGCAGCAGGCCCUGACACCGGGAAGAGCCAACACAGCCACGGACCAGACAAGCAGACAAUCAGCGGACAAUCGGUUCUGGACUCACCCCUCAUCCAGGCCCCCAGCCCAGCCAGAGCCUCCGUGGCUGCGGGUGUUGGGAACCAUGCCUGCCAGCCAGUAUGUGCCCCUCAUCCAGGCCUGGCUGGGCCCUGGGGAGUCCUGUUUGCACAGCCCAGGGGUGUCCGGCCUCUGGCCCGCCCCGGAGCAGGGAGGGUGGCUGGGACCAAGCCCCGAGGGCCCCUGCAAGCACUUUACUUCCUGUUCCUCCCCAGCCUUAACCCCAAAGCCCUCCUGCACCCCAAAGAAGCCACUGAGGCUGGCCGAGCCCCACUGUCUCCCCAGGGGCGUCGACCUGGCCCAGCUGGGUCCCCAGGGCCAGCACAUGGAAUAAAAUAGCCAGG
RNAcentral lists this long non-coding RNA (846 nucleotides) under Pan troglodytes (chimpanzee). RNAcentral's name for it is "long non-coding RNA NONPTRT007997". Lineage: Eukaryota; Metazoa; Chordata; Mammalia; Primates; Hominidae. The record is from RNAcentral.